Molecule: ribosomal RNA, 481 nt
Filed under: uncultured bacterium
Lineage: Bacteria
Description: partial 16S ribosomal RNA
Rfam family: Bacterial small subunit ribosomal RNA
Source: RNAcentral
AUUGAACGCUGGCGGCAGGCCUAACACAUGCAAGUCGAGCGGAUGAAGGGAGCUUGCUCCUGGAUUCAGCGGCGGACGGGUGAGUAAUGCCUAGGAAUCUGCCUGGUAGUGGGGGAUAACGUCCGGAAACGGGCGCUAAUACCGCAUACGUCCUGAGGGAGAAAGUGGGGGAUCUUCGGACCUCACGCUAUCAGAUGAGCCUAGGUCGGAUUAGCUAGUUGGUGGGGUAAAGGCCUACCAAGGCGACGAUCCGUAACUGGUCUGAGAGGAUGAUCAGUCACAGAGGUAAUGAGACGCGCUGAAGCCUACUACGGGCGGCAGCAGUGAAGAAUAUUGGACGAGGGGAGAAAGGCUGAUGCCGUGAUGCCGCGUGUGUGAAGAAGGUCGUAGGAUUGUAAAGCACUUUAAGUUGGGAGGAAGAGCAGUAAGUUAAUACCUUGUUGUUAUGACGUUAACAGAAGAAUCAGCGGCGAAUAACGUC